GGGUGUGUGGGUUUAGCUUUGUGCUUGUGAGUUAUGCUUUUUAUGUGUAAAUGGUGGUGAUGGCAAUUUGAGCAUGAAUGAAGAAAGAUAAGGGUACAUGGAUCCUACGUGUGAAGUAUGUGUGAUUUCAGGGAGUAUGUUUUGAAAAUGAAGUGAGAUGAGAUGGAGAUGGAAGUGUCUGUGUGUUGGAGGAGAUGAAGGUCGUUGAUGGUGAAUUGAUAACAUGGGUAAUGAAUGGUGAAGGUGAUGCUUUAGUAUGAAUGAAGCAUCACUAAGGAGGUGAAGGUAAAUGAUAUCUAUGAAAGACAAAGGUGGUGGUGGAGUUAGCUAUGGUCAUGGAAGGGUGCUGACAGGACUGAAGCGUUUAUUAAAGGCGUGAUGGAAGAUUAUGGUGAUGAGGGUGAGUCAAGUAAAUGUUGAGGGAGGAAAAAUACAUAAAAUGGAGACUUUAUUGGGUUGAUGUUGAAGGUUUGGAUGAAGAAUAAUGGAGGAAAGGGUGGAGUUGUUAGCAAAAGGAUGAAACAAUGAAGUUUUGAUGAUGUUCAAAAUCAAGUUUCAGAAACUCACAUUGCAAGAAGAUCUUUAUGAAGACCAGUUUUAUGUGUUAAAGCUUUUGUAAUAAGUAGUUUUCGUAUAGGAUGUAAUGUUUUGUUUGAUUCCUUGUAAUUUAUGCUUUAAUAUUCAUUUUGGAGUCAAUAGAGACAAUGACUUUGUGCUUGCAUCCAAUAAAGACAACGACUUUGUGCUUGUUCUGGAAGUAAAACACUUUAGGCGAGACAUGCAUUUCCAACUACGGCAACCGUAGAACCGCAUUUCCAAUUGCGACAACCGCAAAACCACACUCCC
RNAcentral lists this long non-coding RNA (846 nucleotides) under Vigna radiata. RNAcentral describes it as "long non-coding RNA (VRAD_LNC001679)". The record is from RNAcentral. Lineage: Eukaryota; Viridiplantae; Streptophyta; Magnoliopsida; Fabales; Fabaceae.